This 1742-nucleotide ribosomal RNA is filed under the name Escherichia coli. RNAcentral describes it as "partial 23S ribosomal RNA". It matches the Rfam family "Bacterial large subunit ribosomal RNA", at positions 1076 to 2801 of the family's 2925-position model. The record is from RNAcentral. Lineage: Bacteria; Pseudomonadati; Pseudomonadota; Gammaproteobacteria; Enterobacterales; Enterobacteriaceae.
UGGGAAGGCCCAGACAGCCAGGAUGUUGGCUUAGAAGCAGCCAUCAUUUAAAGAAAGCGUAAUAGCUCACUGGUCGAGUCGGCCUGCGCGGAAGAUGUAACGGGGCUAAACCAUGCACCGAAGCUGCGGCAGCGACACUAUGUGUUGUUGGGUAGGGGAGCGUUCUGUAAGCCUGUGAAGGUGUACUGUGAGGUAUGCUGGAGGUAUCAGAAGUGCGAAUGCUGACAUAAGUAACGAUAAAGCGGGUGAAAAGCCCGCUCGCCGGAAGACCAAGGGUUCCUGUCCAACGUUAAUCGGGGCAGGGUGAGUCGACCCCUAAGGCGAGGCCGAAAGGCGUAGUCGAUGGGAAACAGGUUAAUAUUCCUGUACUUGGUGUUACUGCGAAGGGGGGACGGAGAAGGCUAUGUUGGCCGGGCGACGGUUGUCCCGGUUUAAGCGUGUAGGCUGGUUUUCCAGGCAAAUCCGGAAAAUCAAGGCUGAGGCGUGAUGACGAGGCACUACGGUGCUGAAGCAACAAAUGCCCUGCUUCCAGGAAAAGCCUCUAAGCAUCAGGUAACAUCAAAUCGUACCCCAAACCGACACAGGUGGUCAGGUAGAGAAUACCAAGGCGCUUGAGAGAACUCGGGUGAAGGAACUAGGCAAAAUGGUGCCGUAACUUCGGGAGAAGGCACGCUGAUAUGUAGGUGAAGCGACUUGCUCGUGGAGCUGAAAUCAGUCGAAGAUACCAGCUGGCUGCAACUGUUUAUUAAAAACACAGCACUGUGCAAACACGAAAGUGGACGUAUACGGUGUGACGCCUGCCCGGUGCCGGAAGGUUAAUUGAUGGGGUUAGCGGUAACGCGAAGCUCUUGAUCGAAGCCCCGGUAAACGGCGGCCGUAACUAUAACGGUCCUAAGGUAGCGAAAUUCCUUGUCGGGUAAGUUCCGACCUGCACGAAUGGCGUAAUGAUGGCCAGGCUGUCUCCACCCGAGACUCAGUGAAAUUGAACUCGCUGUGAAGAUGCAGUGUACCCGCGGCAAGACGGAAAGACCCCGUGAACCUUUACUAUAGCUUGACACUGAACAUUGAGCCUUGAUGUGUAGGAUAGGUGGGAGGCUUUGAAGUGUGGACGCCAGUCUGCAUGGAGCCGACCUUGAAAUACCACCCUUUAAUGUUUGAUGUUCUAACGUUGGCCCGUUAUCCGGGUUGCGGACAGUGUCUGGUGGGUAGUUUGACUGGGGCGGUCUCCUCCUAAAGAGUAACGGAGGAGCACGAAGGUUGGCUAAUCCUGGUCGGACAUCAGGAGGUUAGUGCAAUGGCAUAAGCCAGCUUGACUGCGAGCGUGACGGCGCGAGCAGGUGCGAAAGCAGGUCAUAGUGAUCCGGUGGUUCUGAAUGGAAGGGCCAUCGCUCAACGGAUAAAAGGUACUCCGGGGAUAACAGGCUGAUACCGCCCAAGAGUUCAUAUCGACGGCGGUGUUUGGCACCUCGAUGUCGGCUCAUCACAUCCUGGGGCUGAAGUAGGUCCCAAGGGUAUGGCUGUUCGCCAUUUAAAGUGGUACGCGAGCUGGGUUUAGAACGUCGUGAGACAGUUCGGUCCCUAUCUGCCGUGGGCGCUGGAGAACUGAGGGGGGCUGCUCCUAGUACGAGAGGACCGGAGUGGACGCAUCACUGGUGUUCGGGUUGUCAUGCCAAUGGCACUGCCCGGUAGCUAAAUGCGGAAGAGAUAAGUGCUGAAAGCAUCUAAGCACGAAACUUGCCCCG